GAUGAACGCUGGCGGCGUGCCUAAUACAUGCAAGUCGAGCGAAUGGAUUAAGAGCUUGCUCUUAUGAAGUUAGCGGCGGACGGGUGAGUAACACGUGGGUAACCUGCCCAUAAGACUGGGAUAACUCCGGGAAACCGGGGCUAAUACCGGAUAACAUUUUGAACCGCAUGGUUCGAAAUUGAAAGGCGGCUUCGGCUGUCACUUAUGGAUGGACCCGCGUCGCAUUAGCUAGUUGGUGAGGUAACGGCUCACCAAGGCAACGAUGCGUAGCCGACCUGAGAGGGUGCUCGGCCACACUGGCACUGAGAUACGGGCCAGACUCCUACGGGAGGCAGCAGUGGGGAAUUUUGCGCAAUGGUGGAAACCCUGACGCAGCAACGCCGCGUGAGUGAUGAAGGCCUUCGGGUCGUAAAGCUCUUUUAGUGGGGAAGAAGCCCACCCGGGCUAAUACCUCGGGUGUCUGACGGUACCCACAGAAAAAGUUCCGGCUAACUACGUGCCAGCCGCCGCAGUAA
RNAcentral lists this ribosomal RNA (515 nucleotides) under uncultured bacterium. Its description in RNAcentral is "partial 16S ribosomal RNA". It matches the Rfam family "Bacterial small subunit ribosomal RNA", at positions 28 to 523 of the family's 1533-position model. The record is from RNAcentral.